AGAACAGAUGGCAACAAUAUUCAUGCUAGCAACACCAAUACUUGAUAAUUUUUGAUAAUUCAUGCAAAACAGAAAAUAAAAUCAUCUCUUCCCUUGUAUGAUAUUAGUAACAAUUGCAAUUGUACAAUUUUAGGGGCCUUUGAUUGCAACGGCUUUUACAAAUGGAUACCACUGAAACGUUACACAGGGUUGGUUGCCAUCUCACUUGGAGAGUAUAUCUGGAUGUCCAGGCAAGACAGGGCGAAGUUUCUGAAUGGUUCCAUGUUUAGGUGACACGUCUUCAGACUUUGACCAUUGCACCAUCAUCAGUAACCCACACAAACUGGAGGUGACACUCAAUGGAUAUGGGUUGUCCAAAAUCGGUAUCAUCUCAUGAACCUGCUGUACUAUAUAGAACAACAGCUUUUUAAAACAAAUGUGUAUAUAUAUAUAAUCCAUUUUUGUUCAUGUUAUUAUUUUUCUUGAUGUUUUUUUCCCCCUUUGAGGUCUAUUUUAAUCACUUUUUUGUAGUAUUUUGACAUAGGUUUAUAAUCAAAAUAGAUCUGCUACUCUGCGUAUUUAGGAAAACCCUAACCAUACUCUAUAUCUUAAAAGUUUCUUUGCUUUGCUUUUUAAUCCCUUUCUCUUUAUUUCUUUCUUUUUAUGUAAUUUUGUUGCUGAAAUGGUAACAUGAUUUUCAGUUUAUUGGUACCAAUUCUGAAGUUGAAAAGGCUUUUUCAGGUGGAAUUUAGCACAAGCUGAAUUUAGAAUUAGAGCAAGCGAGAAAAGUAAGUAGAAAUACUCUCUUUUAUGCUGGAUGGGAAAUAGGAGGCUGGCUCAGUAGCAGGAUCUCUAGCAGUUCUUUUUAUUAGUUAACCUAAUUAUAUCUAUUUUCGGCAAUAAAGUAAGGACUACAAAGUUUUUUGUGUCCUUUUUCUAUAAGUGCAUUUUUUUGUUGUUAAAAAAAAAGAGAGGCGAUAAGGUUUUUUGAAAUUGUGAAAUCUAAAAAAAAAUAGUAAUACUGUAAAUACAAUUCCAUUAACUUGCAUAUAAACUAUUAAAGCAGAGAAAUUGUAAUAUUUUUGUGAAUGGAGUCAGAUUAAGGCAGUUUCUGUACUGAACGGAAGACAAAGAUUAAAAUUUGGGGCACACAUCCCAACAGGAAUCUUCUCUUCUGCAAGACUUUUUAUAUGAAUGGGAAAUGCAGGAGGGGCGUUGAGGUCCCUCACUCAAUUCCCAUUGAUCUCGCCAGCCGCACGCACGCAGGGAACAUUUCCGCUGGUUUGUGCCCCAAUGUUUUUAAACUUGUGAGAUCGACUGCCAGAGCUGGCCCAUAGCAGUUAGAUCAACACUGUUUUAGCUUGCUCUGUAGAUGUUAGACCUUAUAACUGUACUAGCGUCAUACCAGCAUAUUAACUAGACCUUUGUGCACAGCUUUGAAAGUAACAGUCUAGUUACAUUUUUAAUUUAAAAAAUACAAAAGAAACCCUGCUUUUCCCAAGAUUGAAAAAGCUACAUUUUUAAUAUUUAAAAGGUAUUUAAAGUUUCAAGCACACUUUUUUUAACCAUUUAGAUCACCUGACUGUCCAUCCAUCUCCGUCGGCCCCCCGUGGCCUGCAGCCUUCUUGACGUCUUGGGAGCUCCCAGCUUUUGGGAGGGGCAGUUAAAGCAUGCAUCUUCUCACCUUUUUUUUUUCAACCCAUCCUUUUUUCCCAUUCUUUUCUAAUUCACAAAUUAGAAAAAAAAAAAAAGGCAAAGGUUUAUUUUAAACAAAUCGUUAUGAAUACCUCAGUGCUACAAGUUUGUCACCCUAGAGGCAAGAGAAGCUUAAUUUAUUGUAGAUGAAAACAGAUUUGAAAAAAAAAAUGUAUAAAAACCAUCAUUGCACUGUGACUGGUAGGGGAAAACUGACAAUUUCCGAUUUGCACAUGUUUAAUGUUUGGCUGUUAUAUAUAUGGUCCUCUGCUGGGGAGGAGACUUAUGAAGGAUAUUUUUUAAUUUAAUUUUUUUAAAUAUGGGUCAAAUAGGCUGGCAACAGCAACUCCAAGUACAACACAGUAGGUGAUAUUACAAGCAUAACUAUAGUGUGGAUAUAUUCUUUUUUUAAGCAUUAAUAUUGACAAGUUUUAUUAAUAUUUUUUUAAAUUGUUACGUUUAUAAAUUUGGUACUCUAGGUACAGCCAGAAUAAGACACUGAAUGAGACAUUUGUUAAGAGAAAAAAAAAGCUGCUGCACUCCUAUUUUUGUAAAAUUUUACUAACCAGUAGGCUAACAUAGAUGUUCAAUAGACAAGUUACAGCAAAGCAUCUUCGAUCACUCACGGAGGCACCACAAGGCGAACUGUAAGGAGGAGGGGAAGAAUCUUAUUCUCCCCACCACCACCGCCCUAAUUUUUAAAGUUAACAGCAAAAAUGAGGUGUUUUGCUGGAGGGGGACGGCUGUUAUAUGUUUUAAGUUUUUAUUUUAUUCUUCGAAAAAACAACCAGGUUUAAAACCCAGAAUGCUGGACGCUUUUUAAAGUUAUCUUGACUUGAUCAAGUAGUACAUUAAAAAAAACAAAAAAGUAAUAAAAAUGAAAUGAAAUAAAUAGAAGGAAUUAAUCACAAACUAAUUCCCUGAGACUCAAGUGUCUUUUUACAAAAAAAUAUAUAUAAAAAAAUUAAAAAGAGCGAGAAAAAAAAAAGUCAGGGAUUUUUUUUAAUUAUUAUUACAUUUUAAUCAAGAUAGACGCCAUCCAUGUGCAGGAGUUCCUGAGGGUGGAUUUCUUUUUAAAUGAUGGAGCUCUCUUGGAUUCUCACAGAGCUUCCUUGGUGGAGUUUCUGGGAACGUGUGCCUGUACUGUAGACUAUCAUGUGUGUUUCUCCUCCUCCUCCUUCCUCGGUCUCUGGCACCUCAUAGAAGAUUCUUUGUUGAUCAUUGUUGUAUGUUAAUAAUGUAUAAAAAUGACUAUCUUGUAAGAGUGCUGUCCUGAUUCUAGUAUAGUGACACCCUUCCACACAUACCCUUUCUCUUCUCUUCCUCUUCCAGUACAUAUUGUAGUUGUAUUGUAAUUAAGGUUAAAUACAUAGAUGUAGUUAUUCAGAUUUAGGACCAGUAAGGAUAGAACUUUCUCUUAUUUAAGGCAAAAAGAAAUGCUAAUAAUUUUGGGGCAGGUUUUUGUUUUUAUUUAAUUUCUUUUUUCGCUCUUUUACUUUCUGCUGAUCUCAUGUGGUUUCAAACUAACCAAAGGCUUCACAA
Non-coding RNA from Thamnophis sirtalis, 3216 nucleotides. Lineage: Eukaryota; Metazoa; Chordata; Lepidosauria; Squamata; Natricidae. The record is from RefSeq and is a predicted model, not a curated record.